RNAcentral lists this long non-coding RNA (262 nucleotides) under Solanum tuberosum (potato). Its description in RNAcentral is "long non-coding RNA (STUB_LNC004087)". The record is from RNAcentral. Lineage: Eukaryota; Viridiplantae; Streptophyta; Magnoliopsida; Solanales; Solanaceae.
AAGUAUAACUCAACAACUCUGGACAAGAGCUGAGUCCAAAGCUCCACAAAAAAGAACACCUCCCUUCAACUAAUAAGAACUCUCUUUUUGACAAAUUUUAUGCACUAUAUUUUUCUUGUGUUUUGUGUAUCUCAAACCAAAUGAAGACCAUCCACUAUUUAUAGUUGGGGAUGUCUUCCUAGCAAUGAAUAGGAAGAUAAUGGGGAUGGUAAAUAGUGAAGAUAAAUGACUAGGAGCGGGGUUUUACCCUGUGCGAACCAAA